UCGGACUGCGCAACGCUGCGCUCUGGGCUGACAGGCGGAUAAAACGGUCCCAUCAAGACUGAGAAAAAGCACACCAGCUAUUGGCACAGCGUGGGCAGUGGGGCCUACAGGAUGACUGACUUAGUCUACAGAGAUCCCGGCGUACUUAAGCAGGUAGUAAUGAUGGACAGAUGAAGACUCUUAAGAUGACAGAAGGUGAUUUUUCUGGUGAUCGAGGACUUCCGGGGUAAUGACAGUGAUGAAAUGCAGGGGACCUGGUUGCCCCCAAGUUUCCUGGCAGUGUGUGAUACUGAGGAGGUGAGCUUGUUUCUGGAGCUGUGCUUUAAGAUUCAUGUUACAUGUAAAGCUGUCCUCAUUUGUGACUAUGGACCUAUGGAGUUGGGACAAUCUCUAUGGGAAGCAGAAGGCAAGGACCCCGGUCAUUUUAGGUAGAAACAACAGCAUGCUAAUGCAAAAAAUUAUGCAGUGUGCUACUGAACUUCAGAGGUGAUCAAUAAAAGAAGAAUAAAAAGACUAAUAAAAGU
RNAcentral lists this long non-coding RNA (524 nucleotides) under Homo sapiens (human). Its description in RNAcentral is "HSALNT0291047". The record is from RNAcentral. Lineage: Eukaryota; Metazoa; Chordata; Mammalia; Primates; Hominidae.